GACGAACGCUGGCGGCGUGCCUAAUACAUGCAAGCCGAACGAGAGCGACCGGUGCUUGCACUGGUCAAUCUAGUGGCGAACGGGUGAGUAACACGUGGGUAACCUGCCCAUCAGAGGGGGAUAACAUCCGGAAACGGAUGCUAAAACCGCAUAGGUCUUCGAACCGCAUGGUUUGAAGAGGAAAAGAGGCGCAAGCUUCUGCUGAUGGAUGGACCCGCGGUGCAUUAGCUAGUUGGUGAGGUAACGACUCACCAAGGCCGUGAUGCAUAGCCGACCUGAGAGGGUGAUCGGCCACAUUGGAACUGAGACACGGCCCAAACUCCUACGGGAGGCAGCAGUAGGGAAUCUUCCGCAAUGGACGCAAGUCUGACGGAGCAACGCCGCGUGAGUGAAGAAGGUUUUCGGAUCGUAAAACUCUGUUGUUAGAGAAGAACAAGUGCUAGAGUAACUGUUAGCGCCUUGACGGUAUCUAACCAGAAAGCCACGGCUAACUACGUG
Molecule: ribosomal RNA, 498 nt
Filed under: uncultured bacterium
Lineage: Bacteria
Description: partial 16S ribosomal RNA
Rfam family: Bacterial small subunit ribosomal RNA
Source: RNAcentral